Pseudopipra pipra is the source of this 1771-nucleotide long non-coding RNA. RefSeq lists it as uncharacterized. The record is from RefSeq and is a predicted model, not a curated record. NCBI's taxonomy places the organism in Eukaryota, Metazoa, Chordata, Aves, Passeriformes, Pipridae. The transcript is spliced from 2 exons.
CGGCGAUGCGCGGAAAGACAGAAACAUGGAAACGUCUGUUGGGGCUUGUCGAGAACUUCGGUGCCCACGCUCACGGGUCGUAACAGAUAAUGUGGCACUGGGGUUUAAAAGAGCGCAGGGGACAUGAUUGCGUGUUCUUCAGGGGCUGUGUCCUGCUGUAUAUUCCCACGGUGCUUGGUACAGCGCAGCUCCAAACUCAAUCAGGGCCUCUGUGUGCUGCAGUUGAAUUAAUAGUAAACAAUAAAACCAAUGUACGUGCUGAAGUUGUGCUGUGAGAGAGAAACUGAAAAUAAGGCUUUCAGUGGAAGCUGCCUGGACUAGUUGCUAUUCAUGCUGUUAUUUCUCCUGCUCCAUUUACUGCUGCUCUGGCACAUGGAUGAGCACCGUGAGGACCAGCUGUGUCUCUGGGAGAUGUUGGAUAGCUUAGACCACAUCAGAAACUUGCCAGCAUGGGAGCUGGUGCUGCACAUCUUCUGGGCAGGAGUGAAGCAAAGUUGAGGUGAAACCUGAACAGGGAAGGAGCUGAGAGACAGGAGAUAAAUUAUUCACUCUCCUUUCAUCGACACCAGGAAAUCAGACGGGACCCGGCUGAAGAAGCUCUCUCAGACUUCUCUGGAUUGGGAACUGCACAGCACCCUUACAGGAUAACCGAUGUGCUUCACAGCUCUGGCUGAAACAUCCCCUGAAGCAGCUCUGAUCUUCAGCCAGAAAUCUUGCAUCUCUCAGCCGAGGAGAGGAAGGAGGACCACCCUAAAUGGUGGACCCAUGUCUGAGGGGCAGGAGAGGGUAAGAGGGCUGAGCAGAGCUGCCCACUUUGCCCAGCUGCCUGCCCAGUUAAAGAUCAGGUGAGGAAGUGUCAAGAAAAUGAUGCUGUGAGACAUGGUCCCUUCAAGGACCACCACAGGUUAGCAUAGGACAUACAAAGUGCUUACCCAACUUUUCGCAUCACUGGAGAUGCAGGACAUACACUUGUCAGCUGGGAGAGAAGAGAAAAGAGAAGAGGAGUCAUGCCUUUGGAGGAACAACAACUGGCCGCUCGCUGUAAUCAUCAGGGUGUCACGUUGCCUCUGGGUCAGCCUGAGAGCCUCAGCUCAAGAAAGGUGGGCUGAACCCAGGCUUCAGAUAACAGGCAUGGCAUCAGGCAUCCAGGUGGCUGGUAAACCUCAGAGCCUGGCCAGCUCAGCUGAUGGCCACAUCCUGCUACCUACAGCCCCUCUCUGGGUUAAGGAUGCAGAACAUGAGCAAAGCAAGGAAGCCAAUACUGGGUGGUUGAGAUGGUAUUAGAUGCACCCACGAGGCAAUCUGUGGAAAAUAACUAAACUGCUGAAUAGUAAGAUCCAGCCUCACGACAUCCAGAGGCUGAAUAAACUGGGAAUCAGUAGAUAAAUUUGUCUUAUUAUAAGAAACAUGGGCCUUAAUCCACCACAGCCUGUGGUACAAAAGGGGAUGCACACUGAAGGCCACAACAACAGUGGAACCCAGAGCUGGGUGGUCUGGAGCUUCUUACACAUGGGGCACCCAAAGUUUGCCCGCACUGUCUCCUAGGGCUUACAGAUGAGGAUGUGUUUGACAAACACAACACCAUGCGGAGAUUGGUGCCCCCUGGGAUGACUCCUGCCCUGCCUCCUCCCUCCCUGCCAGGGACCGUGGCACCACAACCAUCAGAAUUCCCACUGCGGGGAUGCUGACCUGUAACAUGCAAUGGUAGUGCUGCACAUUACAGUUAUAUCAAGUAACUGCAAACAUCAAUUAAACAACAUCAACCUAUAGA